AUGUGCAUCCCAAAGAAGAAAGGUGGCGUGGGUUUUAGAGACAUCCACUAUUUUAAUCUUGCUCUCUUGGCUAAACAGGCUUGGAGGCUCAUUGACAACCCAGAAUCAUAUGUGCCUACCCUUAAGACAAAAUAUUUUCCGGAUGGGGAUCUUAUCGAUGCAACUUUGAAAAAGAAAGCUUCGUACACAUGGCAUAGUAUAUGGCUGGAGUUGAAACACUGA
RNAcentral lists this ribosomal RNA (222 nucleotides) under Triticum aestivum (bread wheat). RNAcentral's name for it is "partial small subunit ribosomal RNA". The record is from RNAcentral. Lineage: Eukaryota; Viridiplantae; Streptophyta; Magnoliopsida; Poales; Poaceae.